GAUGAACGCUGGCGGCGUGCUUAACACAUGCAAGUCGAGCGAGAAGUUUUGAAAAGAUUCUUCGGAUGAAAUUUAAAAUGGAAAGCGGCGGACGGGUGAGUAACGCGUAGGCAACCUGCCCCAUACAAAGGGAUAGCAUUUGGAAACGAAUAUUAAUACCUUAUGAAACUUAACUAGUGCAUGCUAGGUAGGUCAAAGAUUUAUCGGUAUGGGAUGGGCCUGCGUCUGAUUAGCUAGUUGGUGAGGUAACGGCUCACCAAGGCGACGAUCAGUAGCCGACCUGAGAGGGUGAACGGCCACAUUGGAACUGAGACACGGGCCAAACUCCUACGGGAGGCAGCAGAGGGGAAUAUUGCACAAUGGGGGAAACCCUGAUGCAGCAACGCCGCGUGAACGAUGAAGGCCUUUGGGUCGUAAAGUUCUGUUCUAGGUGAUGAAAACUGACAGUAACCUAGGAGAAAGCCCCGGCUAACUCCGUG
Molecule: ribosomal RNA, 479 nt
Filed under: uncultured bacterium
Lineage: Bacteria
Description: partial 16S ribosomal RNA
Rfam family: Bacterial small subunit ribosomal RNA
Source: RNAcentral